Molecule: ribosomal RNA, 480 nt
Filed under: uncultured bacterium
Lineage: Bacteria
Description: bacterial SSU rRNA
Rfam family: Bacterial small subunit ribosomal RNA
Source: RNAcentral
GAUGAACGCUAGCGAUAGGCCUAACACAUGCAAGUCGAGGGGCAUCACAUGAAGUAGCAAUACGGAUGGUGGCGACCGGCGCACGGGUGAGUAACACGUAUGCAACCUGCCUUCAACAAGGGGAUAACCCGUUGAAAGACGGACUAAUACCCUAUAACACAGGGGUCCCGCAUGGGAAUAUUUGUUAAAGGACAACCGGUUGAAGAUGGGCAUGCGUUCCAUUAGCUAGUUGGCGGGGUAACGGCCCACCAAGGCAACGAUGGAUAGGGGGAACUGAGAGGUUUAUCCCCCACACUGGUACUGAGACACGGACCAGACUCCUACGGGAGGCAGCAGUGAGGAAUAUUGGUCAAUGGACGCAAGUCUGAACCAGCCACGUCGCGUGAAGGAAGACGGCCCUACGGGUUGUAAACUUCUUUUAUACGGGAAUAAAGUGCCCCACGCGUGGGUUUGCAUGUACCGUAUGAAUAAGGAUCGGCU